Molecule: ribosomal RNA, 481 nt
Filed under: uncultured bacterium
Lineage: Bacteria
Description: partial 16S ribosomal RNA
Rfam family: Bacterial small subunit ribosomal RNA
Source: RNAcentral
GAUGAACGCUGGCGGCGUGCUUAACACAUGCAAGUCGAACGAAGCAUUUGCGUCAGAUUUUUUCGGAAUGAAGUUGCUUAUGACUGAGUGGCGGACGGGUGAGUAACGCGUGGGUAACCUGCCUUGUACUGGGGGAUAGCAGCUGGAAACGGCUGGUAAUACCGCAUAAGCGCACAAUGUUGCAUGACAUGGUGUGAAAAACUCCGGUGGUAUAAGAUGGACCCGCGUCUGAUUAGCUAGUUGGUGAGAUAACAGCCCACCAAGGCGACGAUCAGUAGCCGACCUGAGAGGGUGACCGGCCACAUUGGGACUGAGACACGGCCCAGACUCCUACGGGAGGCAGCAGUGGGGAAUAUUGCACAAUGGAGGAAACUCUGAUGCAGCGACGCCGCGUGAGUGAAGAAGUAAUUCGUUAUGUAAAGCUCUAUCAGCAGGGAAGAUAGUGACGGUACCUGACUAAGAAGCUCCGGCUAAAUACGUG